Molecule: ribosomal RNA, 450 nt
Filed under: uncultured bacterium
Lineage: Bacteria
Description: SSU rRNA
Rfam family: Bacterial small subunit ribosomal RNA
Source: RNAcentral
AGAACGAAUGCUGGCGGCAGGCUUAACACAUGCAAGUCGAGCGAUGUAGCAAUACAUAGCGGCGCACGGGUGAGUAACACGUGGGAAUAUGCCCUUUGGUACGGAAUAGCCUCGGGAAAACUGGGAUUAAUACCGUAUAUGGAGAGAUCUGAAAGAUUUAUCGCCAAAGGAUUAGCCCGCGUCUGAUUAGCUUGUUGGUGAGGUAAUGGCUCACCAAGGCGACGAUCAGUAGCUGGUCUGAGAGGAUGAUCAGCCACACUGGAACUGAGACACGGUCCAGACUCCUACGGGAGGCAGCAGUGGGGAAUAUUGGACAAUGGGCGCAAGCCUGAUCCAGCCAUGCCGCGUGAGUGAUGAAGGCCUUCGGGUUGUAAAGCUCUUUUGGCGGGGACGAUAAUGACGGUACCCGCAGAAUAAGCCCGGCUAACUUCGUGCCAGCAGCCGCGGUAA